This 253-nucleotide ribosomal RNA is filed under the name uncultured bacterium. RNAcentral describes it as "partial 16S ribosomal RNA". It matches the Rfam family "Bacterial small subunit ribosomal RNA", at positions 524 to 776 of the family's 1533-position model. The record is from RNAcentral.
UACGGAGGGUGCAAGCGUUAUCCGGGUUCACUGGGUUUAAAGGGUGCGUCGGCGGAAUUAUAAGUCAGUGGUGAAAGCCCCGAGCUCAACUUGGGAACUGCCAUUGAUACUGUUUUUCUUGCGUGUGGUUGAAGUGGGCGGAAUAUGACAUGUAGCGGUGAAAUGCUUAGAUAUGUCAUAGAACACCGAUUGCGAAGGCAGCUCACUAAACCAUUACUGACGCUGAGGCACGAAAGCGUGGGGAGCGAACAGG